CUUUUGUAGAAUGAACCGGCGAGUUACGAUUUGUUGCAAGGUUAAGCGGAAAAAGCGGAGCCGUAGCGAAAGCGAGUCUGAAUAGGGCGCAUAAGUAACAGGUCGUAGACCCGAAACCAGGUGAUCUACCCAUGUCCAGGAUGAAGGUAAGGUAAUACUUACUGGAGGUCCGAACCCACGCACGUUGAAAAGUGCGGGGAUGAGGUGUGGGUAGCGGAGAAAUUCCAAUCGAACUUGGAGAUAGCUGGUUCUCUCCGAAAUAGCUUUAGGGCUAGCCUCGAGGUAAAGAGUCAUGGAGGUAGAGCACUGUUUGGACUAGGGGCCCUUCUCGGGUUACCGAAUUCAGAUAAACUCCGAAUGCCAUGUACUUAUACUCGGGAGUCAGACUGCGAGUGAUAAGAUCCGUAGUCGAAAGGGAAACAGCCCAGACCACCAGUUAAGGUCCCCAAAUAUAUGUUAAGUGGAAAAGGAUGUGGGGUUGCUUAGACAACCAGGAUGUUGGCUUAGAAGCAGCCACCAUUGAAAGAGUGCGUAAUAGCUCACUGGUCGAGUGACCCCGCGCCGAAAAUGUACCGGGGCUAAACAUAUUACCGAAACUGUGGAUGAACCUCUUUAGAGGUUCGUGGUAGGAGAGCGUUCUAAGGGCGGUGAAGUCAGACCGGAAGGACUGGUGGAGCGCUUAGAAGUGAGAAUGCCGGUAUGAGUAGCGAAAGAAGGGUGAGAAUCCCUUCCACCGAAUAUCUAAGGUUUCCUGAGGAAGGCUCGUCCGCUCAGGGUUAGUCGGGACCUAAGCCGAGGCCGAUAGGCGUAGGCGAUGGACAACAGGUAGAGAUUCCUGUACCAGUGCUAAUUGUUUAACCGAUGGGGUGACACAGAAGGAUAGGGAAUCGCACGAAUGGAAAUGUGCGUCCAAGCAGUGAGUGUGAGAAGUAGGCAAAUCCGCUUCUCGCGAAGCAUGAGCUGUGAUGGGGAAGGAAAUUAAGUACGGAAGUUCCUGAUUUCACGCUGUCAAGAAAAGCCUCUAGGAAGAGUAGUACUGCCCGUACCGCAAACCGACACAGGUAGAUGAGGAGAGAAUCCUAAGGUGAGCGAGAGAACUCUCGUUAAGGAACUCGGCAAAAUGACCCCGUAACUUCGGGAGAAGGGGUGCUCUAUUAGGGUGCAAGCCCGAGAGAGCCGCAGUGAAUAGGCCCAGGCGACUGUUUAGCAAAAACACAGGUCUCUGCAAAACCGUAAGGUGACGUAUAGGGGCUGACGCCUGCCCGGUGCUGGAAGGUUAAGAGGAGUGCUUAGCUUCGGCGAAGGUACGAAUUGAAGCCCCAGUAAACGGCGGCCGUAACUAUAACGGUCCUAAGGUAGCGAAAUUCCUUGUCGGGUAAGUUCCGACCCGCACGAAAGGCGCAACGAUCUGGGCACUGUCUCAACGAGAGACUCGGUGAAAUUAUAGUACCUGUGAAGAUGCAGGUUACCCGCGACAGGACGGAAAGACCCCGUGGAGCUUUACUGCAACCUGAUAUGGAAUGUUUGUACCGCUUGUACAGGAUAGGUAGGAGCCGAAGAGACGUGUGCGCUAGCAUACGAGGAGGCAAUGGUGGGAUACUACCCUGGCUGUAUGACCAUUCUAACCCGCCACGCUUAGCGCGUGGGGAGACAGUGUCAGGUGGGCAGUUUGACUGGGGCGGUCGCCUCCUAAAGAGUAACGGAGGCGCCCAAAGGUUCCCUCAGAAUGGAUGGAAAUCAUUCGCAGAGUGUAAAGGCACAAGGGAGCUUGACUGCGAGACUGACAAGUCGAGCAGGGACGAAAGUCGGGCUUAGUGAUCCGGUGGUUCCGCAUGGAAGGGCCAUCGCUCAACGGAUAAAAGCUACCCCGGGGAUAACAGGCUUAUCUCCCCCAAGAGUCCACAUCGACGGGGAGGUUUGGCACCUCGAUGUCGGCUCGUCGCAUCCUGGGGCUGUAGUCGGUCCCAAGGGUUGGGCUGUUCGCCCAUUAAAGCGGCACGCGAGCUGGGUUCAGAACGUCGUGAGACAGUUCGGUCCCUAUCCGUCGCGGGCGCAGGAAAUUUGAGAGGAGCUGUCCUUAGUACGAGAGGACCGGGAUGGACACACCGCUGGUGUACCAGUUGUUCCGCCAGGAGCAUCGCUGGGUAGCUAUGUGUGGCAGGGAUAAACGCUGAAAGCAUCUAAGCGUGAAGCCCCCCUCAAGAUGAGAUUUCCCAUUUCUUCGGAAAGUAAGAUCCCUGAAAGAUGAUCAGGUAGAUAGGUUUGGAGUGGAAGUGUAGCGAUACAUGGAGCGGACAAAUACUAAUCGAUCGAGGACUUAACCAAAA
RNAcentral lists this ribosomal RNA (2327 nucleotides) under Listeria monocytogenes. RNAcentral describes it as "partial 23S ribosomal RNA". It matches the Rfam family "Bacterial large subunit ribosomal RNA", at positions 605 to 2925 of the family's 2925-position model. Lineage: Bacteria; Bacillati; Bacillota; Bacilli; Caryophanales; Listeriaceae. The record is from RNAcentral.